Molecule: ribosomal RNA, 360 nt
Rfam family: Eukaryotic large subunit ribosomal RNA
GACCCGUCUUGAAACACGGACCAAGGAGUUUAGCACAUACGCGAGUCAUGGGGUUUUACGAAACCUAAAGGCGCAGUGAAAGUAAAGCCUUGUCUUUUGCAGGGUGAGGUAGGAUCCUAGUUACAAUGUGCUUUUGUACAUGUGCUAGGCGCACUACCAGCUCGUCUCAUGCUUUUUAAGCGAGGCGAAGCAAGAGCGUAUGUGCUGAGACCCGAAAGAUGGUGAACUAUGCUUGUGUAGGUUGAAGUCAGAGGAAACUCUGAUGGAGGACCGUAGCGAUUCUGACGUGCAAAUCGAUCSUCAMASMUGRGUAUAGGGGCGAAAGACUAAUCGAACCAUCUAGUAGCUGGUUCCUUCCGA